GUGUGUGUGUGUGUGUGUGUGUGUGUCACUAUAAAAUAAAAAUUUGACAUGGCAAGAUGGCUACUUCCAGAUUUAAGCUUUAAUAGCUUUGAAGUCCAACUACUUCAUUUAGACUGGAACGGCCCACUAUGCAUAGACAUAAUCUAUCGCCCACCUCACUCCACAAAAGAUUUCAUCAAGCACUUCAUUGAACUGAUCGGCAACAUGACAAUUUCUGACGAUCGUUUCAUACUAGUAGGCGAUUUUAAUAUUCACAUUUGCUGUCAAUCAAACUCUUUUGCUCAAGAUUUCAUCAACCUGUUGGAUCCCUUCGGCAUCACUCAAUGGAUACAUAAAACCACACACGCCCUGGGCCACACACUGGAUCUCCUUUUAGCAUUAAGCUUUCCGACAUUGUACUCUCCCAAUUUUUAAUUUCCGAUCACAUACCUAUUCUAUUUACGCCAUCCCUCACGAAGAUUGCAUAUUGCCUUUAUACGCCUACCAUGCUGUCAACAAUCUACACAUCCAAUUUUAGCUCGAAUUUUAACCAGCGCUUUACCGAUUUCUACGUCAAAUCGCGCCUAGAUGACCCUUCAUCAGAACUGGAUGCUGAGCAACAUCUGGAUCUGCUGCACUCGGUCUGCCAAAUAGCGGCUAUCAAAUCUGCACCCCUGAAAUUAUGCAGACAAAAAAUAAAAUCUGAACCUUGGAAAACGUUAGAGACACGCACUUUAAAACAAAAAUAUUGACAGGCUGAACAUAAAUGGAAAAAGGACAGACUUACCAUGUCUCUUCAACUUUUCAGAUCUGCUCUGUUUUCUGUUUUAGAAAAAAAUUGUACUUAAUCAAUUACAAAGAUUUCUAUCCCAGAAUAAUAUCGCUGAGCCUUUUCGAUCUGGCUUUAGGCCGGCCCAUAGCACUGAAUCCGCUUUAUUAGGAGUUUUGAAUGACAUCUAUCUCCUCACUAAUGCUGUUAAUCACGUGGCCUUAAUUUUGCUGGAUUUAUCCACAGCCUUCGAUACUAUUGACCACUCUGUGUUAUUAUCUCAGCUAGAGUCCUGGGUUGGGCUGAAGGGUACAGUGCUGAAAUGAUUUAAAUCAUACAUCUCCGACAGGAAGUUUUUUGUCAAAAUUGGUAACUUUUCCUCCUCUACGGCACCGUUAACGUGUGGUCUUCCCCAAGGCUCAAUUCUAGCACCUUCACUAUUCUCUCUUUAUAUGCUCCCUCUAGGUUCUAUUUUCAGUAAACAUGGCCUGCAUUUUUAUUUUUAUGCAGACGAUACACAAAUCUAUAUGUCACUGAAAAAGCAAAAUGAGUCCUCUGUUGUGAACUCCCUUUCACUAUGCGUGGAGGAGGUAAAAGCAUGGCUUUCUGAGAACUUUUUAUUUCUAAAUGUGAAGAAAACAGAAGUGAUUUUAUUUGGGCCCUAUGAUUUGUCUGACUGUAAACGCCCCAGGCUGGGUAACUUGGAGGAGUUCAAAUCACCCCAGGUACGCAACCUGGGCAUAACAUUAGACCAGAACUUAAAAUUUGAUAAACAUAUCUCAAAAGUUGUGGGAAAUAGUGUCUACCAAUUUCGCCUUCUUUCAAAAAUGAAAUCCUCUCUUCCUUCACACUCUCUAGAAAUUGCCUUACACGCACUUAUAACCUCCCGGUUAGACUAUUGCAACUCGCUCUAUUUUGGCCUGCCUAAGUCUCAGAUUGCUCGGCUACAGUUAGUGCAAAAUGCAGCAGCUAGAUUCUUAACAAAAAGCCCAAAAUAUGCACACAUCACUCCUAUUCUGAGGCUCUACAUUGGCCAACGGUGACACAAAGAAUCAAAUUUAAAAUCCUUUUCUUUGUGUAUAAAGCCCUACAUGGUCUAGGCCCUCAUUAUUUAUCCCAACUGAUUGUUAAUUACACUCCUCCAAGACACUUGCGUUCCGCUGAUCAGUUUUUAUUAAAAGUUUCAAAGGCCCAUGUGACGGGUGUUAAUAAGAGUAUUAAUUUAAUGCAUUUCACUAAUAGUCCCUCCUUUUAAUUUUCGUGCAUUUGUUUUGCAUCAAUUUGUUUAGACAUAUGUUAGAAUUUAGUUUUUACUCUAUUUGUGUUGUUUAAUGAAAAUAGUUUUAUAUUUGUUUUGCGCGCAACGUUACUUCCGGUUGCCGCGCUACGUCACUUCCGGUUGCCGCGCAACGUCACUUCCGGUUGCCGCGCUGGGUUCUCAGACCGCAUUGAGCGCGCCGAGGAGAGGUGGGGAAAUUUACAAACGAAAUCAUAUCAACUUACUGUGCUGUUUUCUGAUUCAUCCAGGUAUUGUUUUAUGUACAUUUAUGCUUCUUUGUGUUUACAUUUGUUUCGCAAUUACAUUAAUUUCUAAUAUAAAGUUAGAUAGGGGAAGAUUAAUUAAUAUCACAAUGUAUGGAACUGUAAUCAUUUGUUAUUUUUAUUUAUUUACUUUUUGUACUUUUGUGAUCUGUUUACCCAGUUUUAAUUGGGUAUGAUGUUAUUGUUAUGUUUGCUCAGACCGCAUUGAGCGCGCCGAGGAGAGGUGGGGAAAUUUACAAACGAAAUCAUAUCAACUUACUGUGCUGUUUUCUGAUUCAUCCAGUUUGCUCUGAUCUGACGCUUGAGUGACAAUAAACCCACCAUCAGCAGUA
Danio rerio (zebrafish) is the source of this 2622-nucleotide non-coding RNA. The record is from RefSeq and is a predicted model, not a curated record. Lineage: Eukaryota; Metazoa; Chordata; Actinopteri; Cypriniformes; Danionidae.